This 220-nucleotide ribosomal RNA is filed under the name uncultured bacterium. Its description in RNAcentral is "partial 16S ribosomal RNA". It matches the Rfam family "Bacterial small subunit ribosomal RNA", at positions 27 to 248 of the family's 1533-position model. The record is from RNAcentral.
GGACGAACGCUGGCGGCGUGCUUAACACAUGCAAGUCGAGCGGUAAGGCCCUUUCGGGGGUACACGAGCGGCGAACGGGUGAGUAACACGUGGGUGACCUGCCUUUAGCUCUGGGAUAAGCCUGGGAAACUGGGUCUAAUACCGGAUAUGACUCCAUGAUGCAUGUUGUGGGGUGGAAAGCCUUGUGCGGCUGGAGAUGGGCCCGCGGCCUAUCAGCUUU